Molecule: RNA transcript, 1241 nt
Organism: Apis mellifera (honey bee)
Lineage: Eukaryota; Metazoa; Arthropoda; Insecta; Hymenoptera; Apidae
Gene name: pancreatic triacylglycerol lipase
Exons: 10
Source: RefSeq, a predicted model, not a curated record
AAUAUUAAACUAUAUAAAGAGAAUGUAGUGAUGAGUAUUAUUUAAAUUUGAAAACUGAGAAUUCACUUUCUGAUUUAAAUUUACAGUUUGCUCGAACAGAGAAGUUCAUCUUUCAACAUGCUCAACAUUUAUUUUUAUUUUUUCUUUGCGUUUUUCAACUUCUUGUUAGCAGUUAAUGCUGAUGUGACGCAGAAUGUUUUUCUACGUUUAUAUAACAGGAAUGGCUCACAUAUUGAUGAAAAUAUAAGAAACGCUAGUAUAUUUCUUCCUUAUAUACAAAAGAAUAAUUUUCUAAUAAUUUUUAUUAAUGGUCUCAAUAAUGACAUAAAUUCUUUGAGUGACAAAUUAAUAUCAAGUGCAUAUUUAGAUACGACAGAGGUUAAUGUUUUUGGACUCGAUUAUCGGAAUGUUACUACCCAAUUUUAUCCAUUUGCCGUGGCAGACAUAUCUACUGUCGGCAAAUUUGUAGCUAACGCUUUGGAUGAUAUGGUAGAAAAUGGUAUAAAUCCGAAAAAGAUACAUAUAAUUGGGCAUUCAUUGGGAGCUGAGCUUGCUGGUAGUAUAGGACGCCAAAUGAAAGUAAAAAUUAGCAGAAUAACAGGUUUGGAUCCUGCCGGUCCUUUAUACUAUUUACUGAAUAAUCAUUUGAGCAUUUCCGACGCUGAUUUCGUAGAUGUUAUUCAUACUGAUAUGGGAUUCGCGGGAUUGGCUUUAAAAAUUGGUACUGUCAAUUUUUUUCCAAAUUAUGGUCGCAGACCGCAACCAGGUUGUUCAAUAGAACUUACAAGUUCUUGCAGUCAUAGUAGAUCUUACGAAUAUUACGCGGAAUCGAUUAGAAAUCAUGAGGCUUUCAUUGGAAAAUGUUAUUCAUUAAAUAAGUGCAGCGGCGCUGAAUACGUUUCAAUGGGAUAUGCGACACCAAGCAAUGCAUGCUGUUUCUUAUUAUGAUUUGAUUGACUCUUCUUUCUUUCGUUUAUAUAAUAGAAAUGGCUCUUAUAUUGAUACAAAUGUUGAAAACGUCAAUGUAUUGCUACCUUACAUAGAAAAGAAUAAUAGUUUAGUUCUUUAUCUCACUGGUUACACAUAUGAUAUCAAUUCUGAGAAUGUUAAACUCAUAACGGAUGUAUAUUUAAAUUAUACGCAGGAUAAUGUCCUAGCUCUUGAUUAUCGAAAUAUUACGCGAGCAGAUUACUUAACUGCUGUAUAUGCAAUUAACGAUCUCGGCAAACUUGUUGCUGAUG